This 495-nucleotide ribosomal RNA is filed under the name uncultured bacterium. RNAcentral describes it as "partial 16S ribosomal RNA". It matches the Rfam family "Bacterial small subunit ribosomal RNA", at positions 28 to 505 of the family's 1533-position model. The record is from RNAcentral.
GACGAACGCUGGCGGCGUGCCUAAUACAUGCAAGUUGAGCGCUGAAGGUUGGUACUUGUACCAACUGGAUGAGCAGCGAACGGGUGAGUAACGCGUGGGGAAUCUGCCUUUGAGCGGGGGACAACAUUUGGAAACGAAUGCUAAUACCGCAUAAAAACUUUAAACACAAGUUUUAAGUUUGAAAGAUGCAAUUGCAUCACUCAAAGAUGAUCCCGCGUUGUAUUAGCUAGUUGGUGAGGUAAAGGCUCACCAAGGCGAUGAUACAUAGCCGACCUGAGAGGGUGAUCGGCCACAUUGGGACUGAGACACGGCCCAAACUCCUACGGGAGGCAGCAGUAGGGAAUCUUCGGCAAUGGACGAAAGUCUGACCGAGCAACGCCGCGUGAGUGAAGAAGGUUUUCGGAUCGUAAAACUCUGUUGGUAGAGAAGAACGUCGGUGAGAGUGGAAAGCUCAUCAAGUGACGGUAACUACCCAGAAAGGGACGGCUAACUACG